AUAUCCACGCCUAAUCUCAACCGUGAAUCUUUAAGGAUACUUUAAUCUUUAUCGUCCAUCUCAUAACGUUUAUAUAAAUUCCCAUUUGCUCUCGUAUGCUUCUUCAAACUCCUUUAUUUUAAAAUUUUCUUAUCUUCUCAAGUGACAACAAUUACAACAAUCUCACGAUGGCACACCCAACCGGAUACUUGAAUCCUGCUUCUUAUACCUGUCAGAUGAUCAAUUCGAUCAGAUCUACCACACGUCCGAUACAGACAAAGGGUUGCAUGGAUAGGGAUCUCGAAGAGUGCUUUCAAGUGUGGCUUCAAGCUUCCCCUUCUUCCCCUCAUUAGGAAACUAUUUAAGGUAAUGAGUAUCGCUCUCAGGCAGAUGGACCCGAAUAACUUUAUAUAUAUAAAUUUCUUCUGGCAUAUGAGCUUAUGGCUCGACAUCGAGUCUCGGCUAUACUCUUAUAGAGUCAGUAUCACUUCAAGAAAUAUUUCAAGAGCAACGGCUUGGCCGUCCAGAAUGGUGUCAGACCAACACCGACAAAAAAGUGAUUCAUAAUAAAUAAUUUUACAUCGAUGGCCAUUCUCUUAACAAGUAUUUAGUAUGGAGAGAGGUCGGCGCAACAUAAUGAGCAACGACCACAUGGACUUUGACUGGUUAAGUCAACCGAUGAAAUCAAAAUUCUUCUCCCAACCAGCCGAGACAAGGAGCGGCUUUACUCAUUCUGUGUAGUGAUUGCGAAGCGCUUUUUUAAUUUUUGAUUUCAUUAUGCAUUCAUAUCUGUUUUCAACCUAUUUUGACUUGUCUUUUUUUCCUCUUUUGUAGUGAGGAAGCUGCAGAAAGCUGCAGUUUAGUAAUACAUCAUUUGAUAAUACAUCAUUGGUACCCAGGUAAUAAUAAUUAAAUCGGUG
Molecule: long non-coding RNA, 899 nt
Filed under: Daucus carota (carrot)
Lineage: Eukaryota; Viridiplantae; Streptophyta; Magnoliopsida; Apiales; Apiaceae
Description: long non-coding RNA (DCAR_LNC006103)
Source: RNAcentral